Anoplophora glabripennis (Asian longhorned beetle) is the source of this 193-nucleotide long non-coding RNA. RefSeq lists it as uncharacterized. Lineage: Eukaryota; Metazoa; Arthropoda; Insecta; Coleoptera; Cerambycidae. The record is from RefSeq and is a predicted model, not a curated record. The transcript is spliced from 2 exons.
CGUAAGGAUAGACGAUUAGAUCUUGUUGAUAAAAGUGAUGGUGGUGGUGUUCUUCUGGCAGUGAGAAUCGAUAUCAUAGUUAACGUUGUGGAAGCACCGCAAUUAGAUGGUCUUGUUAAUUCAAUUGACAUUUCAUGUUGUAAAUGUAUUAUCUCUCAGAUUCGUGCCUCAAGGGCGAAAAUGUUAAUAAAUU